This 423-nucleotide ribosomal RNA is filed under the name uncultured bacterium. RNAcentral describes it as "bacterial SSU rRNA". It matches the Rfam family "Bacterial small subunit ribosomal RNA", at positions 362 to 776 of the family's 1533-position model. The record is from RNAcentral.
UCUUCCGCAAUGGACGAAAGUCUGACGGAGCUACGCCGCGUGAGUGAUGAAGGCUUUCGGGUCGUAAAACUCUGUUGUUAGGUAAGAACGAGUGCUAGUUGCAUAAGCUGGCACCUUGACGGUACCUAACCAGAAAGCUACGGCUACUUACGUGCCAGCGGCCGCGGUAAUACGUAGGUGGCAAGCGUUAUCCGGAAUUAUUGGGCGUAAAGCGCGCGCAGGUGGUUUCUUAAGUCUGAUGUGAAAGCCCACGGCUCAACCGUGGAGGGUCAUUGGAAACUGGGAGACUUGAGUGCAGAAGAGGAAAGUGGAAUUCCAUGUGUAGCGGUGAAAUGCGUAGAGAUAUGGAGGAACACCAGUGGCGAAGGCGACUUUCUGGUCUGUAACUGACACUGAGGCGCGAAAGCGUGGGGAGCAAACAGG